UACUCGAGUGGCGAACGGGUGAGUAACACGUGGGUGAUCUGCCCUGCACUUCGGGAUAAGCUUGGGAAACUGGGUCUAAUACCGGAUAGGAACCAUCUUUAGUGUGGUGGUUGGAAAGUUUUUUCGGUGUAGGAUGAGCUCGCGGCCUAUCAGCUUGUUGGUGGGGUAAUGGCCUACCAAGGCGGCGACGGGUAGCCGGCCUGAGAGGGUGUACGGCCACAUUGGGACUGAGAUACGGCACAG
Molecule: ribosomal RNA, 243 nt
Filed under: uncultured Actinomycetales bacterium
Lineage: Bacteria; Bacillati; Actinomycetota; Actinomycetes; Actinomycetales
Description: partial 16S ribosomal RNA
Rfam family: Bacterial small subunit ribosomal RNA
Source: RNAcentral